Molecule: ribosomal RNA, 253 nt
Filed under: uncultured bacterium
Lineage: Bacteria
Description: partial 16S ribosomal RNA
Rfam family: Bacterial small subunit ribosomal RNA
Source: RNAcentral
UACAGAGGUCCCAAGCGUUGUUCGGAUUCACUGGGCGUAAAGGGUGCGUAGGCGGUCGGGUAAGUCUGACGUGAAAUCUUCAAGCUCAACUUGGGAACUGCGUCGGAUACUAUUCGGCUAGAGGAAUGGAGGGGAGACUGGAAUACUUGGUGUAGCAGUGAAAUGCGUAGAUAUCAAGUGGAACACCAGUGGCGAAGGCGAGUCUCUGGACAUUUCCUGACGCUGAGGCACGAAAGCCAGGGGAGCAAACGGG